CCUACGGGUGGCAGCAGUCGAGAAUCUUCGGCAAUGGGCGAAAGCCUGACCGAGCGACGCCGCGUGCGGGAUGAAGGCCCUCGGGUUGUAAACCGCUGUCGUAGAGGAGGAAGUGCAGGGGGGUUCUCCCCUUUGCUUGACCUAUUCUAGGAGGAAGUACGGGCUAAGUUCGUGCCAGCAGCCGCGGUAAGACGAACCGUACAAACGUUACUCGGAAUUACUGGGCUUAAAGGGUGCGUAGGCUGCGCGGAAAGUUGGGUGUGAAAGCCCUCGGCUCAACCGAGGAAUUGCAUCCAAAACUACCGUGCUGGAGGGAGACAGAGGUAAGCGGAACUCAAGGUGGAGCGGUGAAAUGCGUUGAUAUCUUGAGGAACACCGGUGGCGAAAGCGGCUUACUGGGUCUCUUCUGACGCUGAGGCACGAAAGCUAAGGUAGCAAAC
RNAcentral lists this ribosomal RNA (440 nucleotides) under uncultured bacterium. RNAcentral's name for it is "bacterial SSU rRNA". It matches the Rfam family "Bacterial small subunit ribosomal RNA", at positions 338 to 773 of the family's 1533-position model. The record is from RNAcentral.